CCAAAGGCUCUUUUCAGAGCCCUAAAAAAAAUAGUUUCAGUUUCUGG
This is a non-coding RNA of Oryctolagus cuniculus (rabbit), 47 nucleotides long. The record is from Rfam. Lineage: Eukaryota; Metazoa; Chordata; Mammalia; Lagomorpha; Leporidae.